AACCCACGACCAGUGCAACAGAGAGCAAACCGCCGAUGGCCCACGCAAGUGGGAUCAGGUAAGGGUGAAAGGGUGCGGUAAGAGCGCACCGCGCGGCUGGUAACAGUCCGUGGCACGGUAAACUCCACCCGGAGCAAGGCCAAAUAGGGGUUCAUAAGGUACGGCCCGUACUGAACCCGGGUAGGCUGCUUGAGCCAGUGAGCGAUUGCUGGCCUAGAUGAAUGACUGUCCACGACAGAACCCGGCUUAUCGGUCAGUUUCACUU
This 265-nucleotide RNase P RNA is filed under the name Salmonella enterica subsp. diarizonae. RNAcentral describes it as "partial RNase P RNA component class A". It matches the Rfam family "Bacterial RNase P class A", at positions 97 to 367 of the family's 367-position model. From Rfam's summary of the family: Ribonuclease P (RNase P) is a ubiquitous endoribonuclease, found in archaea, bacteria and eukarya as well as chloroplasts and mitochondria. The record is from RNAcentral. Lineage: Bacteria; Pseudomonadati; Pseudomonadota; Gammaproteobacteria; Enterobacterales; Enterobacteriaceae.